This 117-nucleotide transfer RNA is filed under the name Parastagonospora nodorum SN15. RNAcentral's name for it is "Phaeosphaeria nodorum SN15 tRNA-Val for anticodon UAC". The record is from RNAcentral. Lineage: Eukaryota; Fungi; Ascomycota; Dothideomycetes; Pleosporales; Phaeosphaeriaceae.
GAUCUCCUGGCGCAGUGGUAGCGCACCAUAUGUACGAUGUACUUAGAUCGCCAUGCGAAAGGUAUGGGGAGCCAAGUACAAGUUAUGGAGACCCGUGUUCGAUUCACGGGUAGAUCA